AUGUUAAUGAUCGAGAGAAUUAUGAAAUAUCCAUUACCAAGGAUACAUCAUAAAUACGAGCAUCACUGAAGCACUUAAUCAGCUUUCAAUUCGUUCAGUGAUCGAGACGUUGUGAAGCAUUCAAAUCAGUGUUAGUUAUCGCGUAUUCUCGAUCAAUUAGUUUUGAAGUUAUACAAGAGGUUUGUAGCUUUCGGUUUGACUAACACAGCGUGGAGGUAUGCGUGUGGCUUGGUGAUUGGAAUGAAGGACUGCAGCUCGGAAGGAUUCGGGUUCGAGCCGUGACGCUACAAAACACGUUUCACACUUUCAGCUGUGGACUCGUUAUAAGAAUGACAGUAGCUCUUGAGUUAAGAGUAACCAAUUACGUGUUGCUGUAACCUUCCACUUGGUUCGAAGUUCCAGACGAUUACGUCUGAACAAUAUGGCGUGAAUAACAUAGUUAACGUAUUACGAAAUUGAAUUAUUUAUUGGUAUAAGAAUCCUGUGAGUAGCGUAGUCAACAUUACAAAGUUGACAUAAGAAUCAUGUGAGUAAGGUAGUCAACAUUACAAAGCUUACUUUUUCUUCCAUUUAACCCAGCAGUUGAUACUUGACUGUAAUACUGAUAACUUGUAAUAAACCCUGACAGUUGUUCACUAGUUCACAUCAUACUAACUGCUGUUCAUUAAAUUUGAUAGUUAACGUCUGAACAGCUACUGACUACUGUGAGUUAAGUAGUAAUAACAGUUGACCAAAGGAAGCUGCCUAAAAGUUAACCCA
Long non-coding RNA from Limulus polyphemus (Atlantic horseshoe crab), 759 nucleotides. RefSeq lists it as uncharacterized. The transcript has 3 exons. Lineage: Eukaryota; Metazoa; Arthropoda; Merostomata; Xiphosura; Limulidae. The record is from RefSeq and is a predicted model, not a curated record.